Molecule: long non-coding RNA, 870 nt
Organism: Lycium ferocissimum
Lineage: Eukaryota; Viridiplantae; Streptophyta; Magnoliopsida; Solanales; Solanaceae
Exons: 2
Source: RefSeq, a predicted model, not a curated record
GUAUUUGUGUUGAGAAAUUUACUUAGUAUCUAUAAAUAAUUUAUCCCGAACCUAGUAAACUGCUUUUUCUAGAUUCCAGAACCCAUAGGCACAAACCCUGUAUUUGUGUUAAGAAAUUCUAUCCCGAACCCAGUUAGUUGCUUUUUCUAGAAUCCAGAAUCCAUAGACACAAUAUUCUUGAUCCACCUUUAUUAUUCACCCCACACAAAAUUCUUGACAGCAAACAAGCCGGUUUUAGCUCUUAAACAUGUAUGUGUGGUUUGAUUGUUUGCUUGCUCCAAUUUCUGGGGAACCCAAAAUGUGCUCUAAAUUUCUGUUAGAUCUUCUGACAAUCAUGUAUUAUGUUCCGUAUUUUUGCAGGCAGAGUGUGAAGAGCUACAACGUAGAGUAGAAGCUUUGAGCAAUGAGAAUCAUUCACUCAAAGAUGAGCUCCAACGGCUCUCUGAGGAAUGUGAGAAGCUUACCUCAGAGAAUAAUUCGAUAAAGGAAGAGUUAACGCGAUGGUGCGGACCAGAUGCUGUGUCUAAGCUAAAGAGCAAUGGUAAUGCUGCACGCGUUCAAUCUAAUGUUGAGGAAGCUAGUUAAGGAAAAACUGGAAAAGCCAGGACUGAGUAGGUGAUUUUAGUUACAAGUGCUCACAAAUAUUUCAGGAGCCUGAAGAAUUCAUUACUUCUAGGUGCAGCAGAAUGAGAAAUGUUUGUUGUCCUACUAACCUAUACCCUUUAACCCCUUUCUGAGUGUGACUGUAACAUCUGACAUCUGAGUCUGUAAACUUGUUUUAAAAUUAACUAAAAUAACUGGAAUAUUGUAAACUCAGAAGUCUUCAAGUGACCUUGGAAUUUUACUUUCAUGUUAUCCUAUUCCUGGCUA